Molecule: ribosomal RNA, 346 nt
Filed under: uncultured soil bacterium
Lineage: Bacteria
Description: bacterial SSU rRNA
Rfam family: Bacterial small subunit ribosomal RNA
Source: RNAcentral
AGAGUGAACGCUGGCGGUAGGCCUAACACAUGCAAGUCGAACGGCAGCACAGUAGGAGCUUGCUCUUACGGGUGGCGAGUGGCGGACGGGUGAGGAAUACAUCGGAAUCUACCUUUUGGUGGGGGAUAACGUAGGGAAACUUACGCUAAUACCGCAUACGCCCUUCGGGGGAAAGCCGGGGACCAGCAAUGGCCUGGCGCUGAUAGAUGAGCCGAUGUCGGAUUAGCUAGUUGGUGAGGUAAUGGCUCACCAAGGCGACGAUCCGUAGCUGGUCUGAGAGGAUGAUCAGCCACACUGGAACUGAGACACGGUCCAGACUCCGUACGGGAGCAGCAGGUGGGGAAUA